RNAcentral lists this transfer-messenger RNA (372 nucleotides) under Cytophagales. Its description in RNAcentral is "Allopseudarcicella nivalisilvae Standard tmRNA". It matches the Rfam family "transfer-messenger RNA". Rfam says of the family: Bacterial tmRNA, also known as 10Sa RNA or SsrA, is named for its dual tRNA and mRNA-like properties. Its role is to liberate the mRNA from a stalled ribosome. Lineage: Bacteria; Pseudomonadati; Bacteroidota; Cytophagia. RNAcentral also lists the same sequence under 1 other name. The record is from RNAcentral.
GGGGUCGACCGGUUUUGACAGCUUAUGUCGGUCGGUGGUAAGCACGUCGGGAGUUGUAGGCAUUUCCUGUUUAAAAAACCUUCGAAUUAUAACUGGCAAUACACAGUAUGCCAUGGCUGCUUAAUCUUAGAGAUUAAUCAAUUUGCCAUCGUUCAGCCUUCUCCAAACUCUGCCGAGGAGGGCAUCUGAGCGUCGACAUGCAGAGUCGAUAAGUUCGAAUUUCUCUACGAGCUUGUUAGUAUCCAGAGGAUAAGUUGAGAGUUUGGGUCUGAUGUGAACCCGCUUUUGAUCGAAAAAGAAUCACAGCUAAACGUGUAGAAAGCUAUUGUUCGCUAGGUUUGGACGAGGGUUCGAAUCCCUCCGACUCCACAA